GUUUUUUCCAAAGAUUCACCAGCCUCUGCCUAGGAAAAGCGCAGGCAUAUAAAAAGACCCUGUGCCCAUGAACAGGAGCUUUUUAUCAUCACCCAGUCUGGAGGGAGGCCAGAAUGCCUCUCUCUGUGUAUCUCUUUUGCCUGGACCUGAGAACAUGUCAGCAUUUCAAUGCAUUUAUCCAGGUUCCAUUCCCAUUUUUCCCAUUUUCCUCUAAACAGGCUGCCUCUACUCUCCAAGUUGACUCCAUUCAAUCUCUUGCGGCUGCUGCUUCCCUAACUCUGAGUCCUUGCCUUCUGCUACAUUUGGUUACAAUUAACGUCCAGCUUGUCUUCUAGACCUCACCUGCUCUGGGCUCUGGACCCAGGCACCAGCAAUACUUCUCCGAGGAGUGUGCUUCCCAUUCAGCAAUGAUUGUGAGUUUCCUGAGGCCUCCCCAGCCAAGUGGAACUGUGAGUCCAUUAAACCUCUUUUCUAAGUUACUUAUAUAUAAGUGUGAAAAUGGACUAAUACAGCUGUCUUUUAAAAACUACAAACAUAGGAACUCAAAUGCUUUCAACCUAAUUCACCAAAGGCAAUGUAAUCACCUGGUAGACCAUGCCUUUAAUUCAGUUGUCCUUCCACUGUUCAAAACAUCCUUGGAACUCAUUUUUUAAAAAUUAUCUUCAGAGAAUGUAGCAUCUUCUGGAUAUCCUGAAUGCAUGAAGUUUUCAAACUUUUAGUGUAAGUAUGAUUUUUGAAAGCAGUUAAAGACCGUGAUGCUAGUGUAGUAAAUGUGGUCAGGUCUAAAGCUAAAUACAAUUUGUUCAUAGUGUUAAAGGAAGUGCAAUCAUAAAGUCAAGGGAUAUUUUUGGAAGUGAUUAUAAAAAUGGCUCUGAAUGGAGCUAGAUUUUACUGAUGGCAGCAUCCUCAGGGAUAACUGAAUGGCUUCCCAAAGUAAACUUUUGAGGGGGCCAAAAAUUUAACUCUGUUACUUUACUCUGUAGUUGUCAUGCAUUUUAUGAGAUGCUGACACUUACCCUUUCCAUAAUAGAUACUGGUAAAAUAGCCUCUUCCCAGCUGCAACCUCUACCACCACCAAGUUUACAGUAUGCAUAGAAAUGGUAUGGGGUUGCUGAAGAAAGAAAGGAAACAAAUUCAUGCUCAAGUAGAGCAACUUCUUACACCUCUAGCAGAGAAAUGAUAAGGCUUCUGAGACCAUCAUGAGGAAGGGAUGGAGCCCAGAAAUGUCUUUCUACAGUGCACCCUAGUUCCACCCACUGGACCCCCGCAGUGGAUCAGCAUACUCCUCAGAGAGCUAUUGCUGGUGCCCAUCUGGCAUGCUGAUUAAAAAGCAAUACGUACGCCAUGAUGUCUUUGGAACCAUUGUCUGAUGUGGAGGGGAACUGUGUCAAUAAAUCAUGAUAACAGUUAAUUCAAGUAAUAAAUACUUUUAUGGUUGAAUAUUAUAUUAUUUGUUUUUAAGUCUGGCUGAUAUCUAUUAUAAUGAGAUUUUCCUUUACUAUUCCAUUUCAUUAUAAUUGACAGUAUUUGUGUGAAAUAUUGAGGGAGCUCUGAUAGCCACAUUCAAAAAUAUAGUCAAGGUCUGUCAUGGGGCAUCCCAUCUAAGACAGAGCCCUCGGGGACAAGCCACAAGGGCGCAUACUGAAACAGAACCCUGGGGAACGCCUGAGCUAAUAUCAAAUCAUAAGACAAGAAGCAAACUUAUGUUCAAUAAAAUUUGAUGGGGGCAUCUUGAGAGACAAUGGUAAGGUCUUGAGGUUGCUGUUUAAACAGUAUGGAAAUGGAUAAGAAAUCACUGCCUCAGAUUUGGUUGGUAGCCAAUAAAGGCUUAGGGAUUAGCAAAAAGUUAGAAACUAUUGAAAAUAAUGAAAAGAUAGGAUCUAGCCUUCACCAUCUCUAUACAAAAUAAAUUAAUUUAAAUUAGUACAAUCCUAGGAGGUCCUUCCCAUCAACUACGAUCAUGAGCAAGCAAAUAGUUAAAAUGGAACCAUGUGUUGUUUCACGUAAAGAAAAAGGCUUGAGUUUUUGGUAACAGUUCUACCUGUAAAAUAGUAAAGCUGUAGAUACCUAUAGCAUUGAUGAUGGCAGGGGGGAGAUGAUAUUAUGUCAGUGACAGCGAGCCAAGCCCCAUCUAAAAGAAAGGUAAGCUGGGAGUUUUACUUAAAAAGCCUACCUAAAUUGACAGCUCUCACAGAAUGCACUGGAAUUUGGGGGUAAAGAUAGAAUCUUCCCUCAGGUUUGAAAAACAAGCUCUUAUUCACAUUUUCUAUUUUCCCAUUGACAUGAAAAUUGCCUAAGAAAAGUAGACGAGAUCCCAGGGGCACACUGCUUUUCAACUUGAAUCUUUGCCUUCCCUUUUCAUUUUUUACUUACAGUGAGUACAUGCAUGUAUGCAUGCACAUGUGUAUGUGUGUGUACACGUUUGUGGGGGCGGGGAGGUUGUCCAUGGAGAUUUUCUCUUAAAGGAAAGCCUAUUUCCCUCAGCGGUAGGAAAAUUGAAGCCUGCACCCUCCUAAUACAAGACCUACUCUUUUCUUUAAAACAUAGAAGACUUAUCUUUUGAAAUGGGGUAGCCGCUUAAGGAAUAGAUAAAUUCCCUGCGAUAUUUACUCCCAGAAAGAAAAAAAUAGUAUAAAGAAUAAUUUUAAUACUUGGGUCACUGAGAUUUUGGAAUGAGCCUCAGGCUGUUUCAGAGAGAAGUCUGUGUAUUCAGGUUGCAUGGAGAGCUGUGUUUAUUUGGAAAGGCAAAUUAUAUAUGAUAUACUUGGUGUUAUUCAGUGUGCAAAAUGCUACAAAAGCCUACUGUAUGCAUACUUACUUGUUAUACCCACAUUUCAUUAAACCUCACAGACAUUGUUACCCAUAGUUCACACUCUGGACUGCCAAGGGGUUACCACCCAUUUCCUAAUAUACCAAAGAUACCCCAAAAGAGAUAUGACGGGCAGAUGUAACCCUCUUUUUCAACUACUAUGGCAUCUUUAAGCAUUUAAACUACUAUCACAUCUCUAAGUAUUUAGGGAGUGUGAUUAUUAAUGUUGUACCUCAACUUGACUGGGCCAUGGGGUGCCCAGACGUUUGAUCAGACAUUCCUCUGGGUGUUUGCCUGCCAGGGUAUUAUUGGAAGAAACUUGCAUUUGCAUCAGGAGACUGAGUACGGUAGAUUGCCCUCCCUAAUGUGGGUCGGCGUUGUCCAAUCAGUUGACAGCCUGGAUAGAACAAAAUGGCACAGUAAGAGAGAGCUCCUCCUGUUUGACUGCUGAGUUGGGACAUCAGUCAUUUCUGAACUUCAGACUAGGACUGAAAUAUCAACUUUUGUUGGGUCUCGAGCCUGCCAGCUUUCAGACUGGACCUUACACCAGUGGCUCCCCUGUUCUCAGGCUUUCAGACCUGGACUGGAACCACAUGUGGACUCUCUUGUUCUGCCAAUUGCAGAACUUGAGGCCUCUUGGGCUCCAUAUCACAUGAGCUAAUUCCCGAUAAUAAAUAUGUGUGUGUGCAUGUGUGUAUGUGUGUGUGUGUUUGUCUUGUUGGUUCUGGUUCUCUAGAGAACCCUGACUAAUAUAGGAAGUAAGGGGUAAAACUAAGAUACAUUUCCUUAGUUAUAAAAUGAAAAAAAUAAGCUAAAUCAUAUAAUUAUUUUGAUGCUUACAUGAGAUGUUACAUUUCUUGUUAGAUACUUGUAUUAGUCUAUUCUCACAUUGCUAUAAAUAAAUACCUGAGACUGGGUAAUUCAUAAAGGAAGGAGGUUUAAUUGUCCCGCGGUUCUGCAGGCUAUACAGGAAGCAUGGUGCUGGCAUCUGCUCAGCUUCUUGGGAGGCUUCAGGAUCUUACAAUCAUGGCAGAAGACAAAGAGGAAACAGGCACAUCACAUGGCCAGAGCAGGAGCAAGAAAGAGAGAGGGAAGUGCCACACAUGUUUAAACAGCCAGAUCUCAUGAGGACUCACUGUACAGUACCAAAGAAGGAUGGUGCUAAAUCAUUUAAGAAAAUCCGCCCCCAUGAUCGAAUCACCUCUCACCAGGUCCCACCUCCAACACUGGGGAUUUAAUUGAACAUGAGAUUUGGGUGAGGACACAGAUCCAAACCAUAUCAGUACUCCACACUGUGUUAGGUGUAAAGAAAACCUAACCAGUGGUUCCCCAACCACCUUCUCCCAACACCACAUGUUCAUCACCACAAACUUUCUUUCUGUCCUUAGAUCUGCCACCCACCAAAGGAAGAGCAGUACAGUCUUCACUCAGUAUUUGCAGGGGAUUGGUUUCAGGACCCCCAAAGAUACCAAAAUCCAUUGAUGCUCAAAUCAAUGAAAUAAAAUCAUGUAGUGUUUACAUAUAACCCACUGCACAUUCUCUCGUAUACUUUAAAUCAUCUGUAGAUUAUUUAUAAUACCUAAUAAAGGUAAAUGCUAU
RNAcentral lists this long non-coding RNA (4408 nucleotides) under Homo sapiens (human). RNAcentral's name for it is "HSALNT0206716". The record is from RNAcentral. Lineage: Eukaryota; Metazoa; Chordata; Mammalia; Primates; Hominidae.